CCGUGAACCACAGCUGCCCCCUGCCUCUGCAGGAGACCCUCCAACACUAGCAGAAGACAUCCAAGAUGGUUGGGAAGUUUGCUGGUCUAGCUACGGAGUUCCCUAGAAGAGUUCUUGUUGCCAAGCCCCACCCAAGGUCAGAGACCCACUUCACAAGGGCUGUUUGGGGUAAGCCAGGGGGAAAAUAACAACACCUUUGAAGAGUGCUGAACUUGGCUUUAAUUGAGCUCUUCCUGUUGAUUAGAAUCUAUUUGCAUUCAUUUUCCAGCAGAAUGAAAAUGCUUCUCUGCUUCCUCAGAUGGCACAGAGCAUGAGAGGAGGGCUGCAUGUGCUGCUGAGGAUGCUGUUUGGGCAAAAUUAGCCAAGAAGAUGGGAAGGAGAAGACAGUCUGCGCUCUGUGUCGUCACCUGCUGAGACUGCUUUCUUGAAUGAGUGGUCACGCAUGAGAUCCUGUGCAGUACCCUCCCCCAGAAUCAGCAUGGUUGUCUCCACAUGUGUGUUAAGAUCACAUGGUAAAAUGCCCUGAUUUUGCUAAGGGGAAGUAUCCCUCCCUCUCACAUUGGAUGCUGCCUUGGAUGGUCAUUGUUGGCUUCCUGUUCUUUUCUGGCCAAGAGGUAGACUGGUGAUGCAAGCUCAGGUUAUAAAACACAACCUGGACUUUUUUUCUGACAGUUUUUCAAACAUUGUUAUUAUCAUGUUAAAGAUAAGCUGUAUUCCAAAAUGUGUAGCUACAUUCCAAAUCAUGUCAAGGAUUUUACUUUGUUAAUUUGGAUGAGAUCAUGGGUUGUGGGCAUAAUUCAAAGUGUCUGGACUUCUAGGACCAGAUGUGGUCUGAGAUUGAUGUAUACAAGGACAUCGGAAACAAAAAAUUAAAUUGCAACAAAAGAAAUGAAGAUGCAAAGUAAUGAGUGUUUUACUGUGUGAAAAGGCACAUAUGCAGAAAAGAGUCAUAGUGCUUCCUCUGUGGAGGGCUCAGCCCUAUAAAACAGAGUCCAUUGUUGGUCUGUGGAAAUGUCCCCAGAGUCAGGCCAGGAAGGCGGCAUUGCUUCUCGACCUGCUUCUGAGGUAGGGGACCUUGAGUUAUUCCUGGUCCUGCCAAGUUGUCUGGGCCCAACCACUUAACUUUUUUCUAUAAAAUGGGAAUAUCAUUGGCCUCUUUCCUGUGAGUUUGGGAAGCCCUUCCUAGAGAUUGCUACACACACCCAGCCAAACUCCCAAGAACUUGGUUCCUGAGCAGAGUGGCUGAAGAAUGAAGAUGGUGGGAAUUUGCUCAUUCCAAGGGUGGUGCUUAAUCCAGGUCCCUGCUCCUGGAUCUCUGGGGCUGCUCUGGUUCUGUCCCUCAGGCAGCUCUGUCUUAGCCAACAGAAAGGAGUUUCCUGGAAGGCUAUGUGGUAGGAGGUCCAAAGACUCGGAACCUGUUUCUGCUGCAUGUAGUCACUGGCGCACUUUCUCUUGAUACCCUCUUUCUUGCUGGUUACAUCUAUGCACACAACUUCAAAUAUAAUCUUUAUGCAGAAAGCUUGGAGCCGUGUCUCCAGCUCUGAACUUUCUCCUAGCACAGCAGGAAGAAUAGCUCUGCAGGGAUGUGAUGUUAUUAGCAAAAGAACCAAAUUCCCACUGCCCUGAGAGCCUACCUUCCUGUCCUAGCCACCCAUCUCCUGGCUCCCUCUGUCCUAAUCCCAUCCAUUCUGUCCUGAACUAUCUCGUGCAGGCCUCCCAUCCAGGCCCACUGCUGUUGCCUUGGUUCAGGCUUCCUUUAUCUCUUGCCUGUUGCUUCCCUCCGCUAACUGGUCCCUGCACUGCUAGGCAAAGUCAUACAAGCUCAAAAGCCUUCAGGGGCCAGGCAGGUCAUGCAUGUGUGUGAAGUAAAAGGGCUUGUUGGGAACGGGGGUGCUGACUGGCUAUCUUUAGACAGGGUUUUGUGGGCUGUUUCCAGUUUUCAGUCUGCUGUCUCCAGUCUUUAGCCUUAGGGUUGUCCAGGUCCGCUCAUCAUGCCUUGUGUCCUGCUCUAGUCUUCAGGUGCCAUAUAAGGAUGAAGGUCCACAAAGCCUCUUACAGUAUACCCAUGCAGCUGGAGUGCUGGGGACUUGGUGGGAUCAAAUAAUGGGAGUGCUUUGGAAAAUGUAGGUUUGGGUCAGUUUACUGUUCUCCCAAUGUGCCCCUCACAUUCCUGCCCUGAUGCUGGACUUUGGAUUCGGCUGGAACUUGACCUUCUCUAAGAAGGCUUCUCUCUUUCCUAUUAAAUUAACCUCUCUAAGCCUCCAUCUCCUCCUCUGUAAAAAGGGCGUAAAGCUGGGCUUCCCUGGUGGCGCAGUGAUUGAGA
Aethalodelphis obliquidens (Pacific white-sided dolphin) is the source of this 2323-nucleotide long non-coding RNA. RefSeq lists it as uncharacterized. The transcript is spliced from 3 exons. The record is from RefSeq and is a predicted model, not a curated record. Lineage: Eukaryota; Metazoa; Chordata; Mammalia; Artiodactyla; Delphinidae.